GAGUUUGAUCCUGGCUCAGGAUGAACGCUGGCGGCGUGCUUAACACAUGCAAGUCGAACGAAGCGCCUUAUUUGAUUUUCUUCGGAACUGAAGAUUUGGUGACUGAGUGGCGGACGGGUGAGUAACGCGUGGGUAACCUGCCCUGUACAGGGGGAGUAACAAAUCAGAAAUAGACUGCUAAUAACCGCCAUAAGACCACAGCACCGCAUGGUGCAGGGGUAAAAACGUACCGGUGGUACAGGAUGGACCCGCGUCUGAUUAGCUGGUUGGUGAGGUAACGGCUCACCAAGGCGACGAUCAGUAGCCGGCUUGAGAGAGUGAACGGCCACAUUGGGACGUGAGACACGGCCCGAAACU
This 357-nucleotide ribosomal RNA is filed under the name uncultured microorganism. Its description in RNAcentral is "bacterial SSU rRNA". It matches the Rfam family "Bacterial small subunit ribosomal RNA", at positions 9 to 338 of the family's 1533-position model. The record is from RNAcentral.